GAUGAAGAACGCAGCGAAAUGCGAUAAGUAAUGUGAAUUGCAGAAUUCAGUGAAUCAUCGAAUCUUUGAACGCACCUUGCGCCCUUUGGCCAUUCCGAAGGGCAUGCCUGUUUGAGUAUCAUGAACACCUCAACUCUUUAUGGUUUUCCAUGAUGAGCUUGGACUCUGGGGGUUUUGCUGGCUCACAGUCGGCUCCUCUAAAAUGAAUCAGCUUACCAGUGUUUGGUGGGUAUCAUGGGUGUGAUAACUAUCUACGCUUGUGGUUUUUCCACCAGGUAACCUUCAGCAGUGGAGGUUCGCUGGAGCUCACAGAUGUGUCUCUCCUCAGUGAGGACAGCUCUUUGAAUGUUUGAUCUCAAAUCAGGUAGGACUACCCGCUGAACUUAAGCAUAUCAAUAAGCGGAGGA
RNAcentral lists this unclassified non-coding RNA (407 nucleotides) under soil metagenome. RNAcentral's name for it is "partial contains 5.8S ribosomal RNA, internal transcribed spacer 2, and large subunit ribosomal RNA". The stretch from base 1 to 121 matches the Rfam family "5.8S ribosomal RNA", at positions 35 to 154 of the family's 154-position model. The record is from RNAcentral.